RNAcentral lists this ribosomal RNA (484 nucleotides) under uncultured bacterium. RNAcentral describes it as "partial 16S ribosomal RNA". It matches the Rfam family "Bacterial small subunit ribosomal RNA", at positions 29 to 507 of the family's 1533-position model. The record is from RNAcentral.
AGUGAACGCUGGCGGCAGGCCUAACACAUGCAAGUCGAACGGAAGAACAGUAAGAGCUUGUUGUUACAGGUGGCGAGGGGCGAACGACGCAGGUAAACAUCCCAGACCGUUGGGGAUAAGGUAGGAAAAUGGGGAAAAUUACGGUAAUGCGCCAUAGGGACAAAGUGGGGGAUCAUAGGAUCUUCCGAUCUUGGGUGAGCCUAGGUCCGAUUAGCUGGUUGGUGGGGUAACGGCCUACCAAGGCGACGAUCCGUAGCUGGUCUGAGAGGAUGAGCAGGCCCACUGGAACUGAGACACGGUCCAGACUCCUACGGGCGGCAGCAGUGGGGAAUAUUGGACAAUGGGCGCAAGCCUGAUCCAGCCAUGCCGCGUGGGUGCAGAAGGGCUUCGGGUUGUAAAGCACUUUUGGUGGGGAAGAACGGCAGCAGGUUAAUACCUGGCUGUUUUGACGGUACCCACAGAAUAAGCACCGGCUAACUUCGUG